CCUACGGGUGGCAGCAGUGGGGAAUAUUGGACAAUGGGGGCAACCCUGAUCCAGCCAUGCCGCGUGUGUGAAGAAGGCCCUCGGGUUGUAAAGCACUUUCAGUGAGGAAGAACGCCUGGUGGUUAAUACCCAUCAGGAAAGACAUCACUCACAGAAGAAGCACCGGCUAACUCCGUGCCAGCAGCCGCGGUAAUACGGAGGGGGCGAGCGUUAAUCGGAAUUACUGGGCGUAAAGCGCGCGUAGGUGGCUUGAUAAGCCGGUUGUGAAAGCCCCGGGCUCAACCUGGGAACGGCAUCCGGAACUGUCAAGCUAGAGUGCAGGAGAGGAAGGUAGAAUUCCCGGUGUAGCGGUGAAAUGCGUAGAGAUCGGGAGGAAUACCAGUGGCGAAGGCGGCCUUCUGGACCGACACUGACGCUGAGGUGCGAAAGCGUGGGUAGCAAACAGGAUUAGAUACCCUUGUAGUC
RNAcentral lists this ribosomal RNA (465 nucleotides) under Vreelandella stevensii. RNAcentral describes it as "partial 16S ribosomal RNA". It matches the Rfam family "Bacterial small subunit ribosomal RNA", at positions 338 to 795 of the family's 1533-position model. Lineage: Bacteria; Pseudomonadati; Pseudomonadota; Gammaproteobacteria; Oceanospirillales; Halomonadaceae. The record is from RNAcentral.